Eptesicus fuscus (big brown bat) is the source of this 517-nucleotide long non-coding RNA. RefSeq lists it as uncharacterized. The record is from RefSeq and is a predicted model, not a curated record. The transcript has 3 exons. NCBI's taxonomy places the organism in Eukaryota, Metazoa, Chordata, Mammalia, Chiroptera, Vespertilionidae.
UGCUGCUUUUCACUAAAGCAAUGCCCAACACAUUCCCUAAGUGAGGCCCAUUCCUUGGUAGCCCACUGACAGGAGGCCUGCCGGAAAAGGACAUCUUGGUCAUUGGUGACCCACUGCUUUCUUCUCUUCUCACAGAGUGAUCUUCCAUGGCCAUGUCAGCAGGUCUGUCAACUUCAGAGAUGGCAAGUAGAUGUGACAUUGAUGGAAAGCUGUCCUGGUGGAUGCUCAUUACUGCUGGAGAUGCUGAGGGAUUUUUCAGCAAGUGAGAGCAAAGAUGGGCAUGGCCAUACGGAGACUUAGAAGCUAACAGGGAAGAAGGCUGAGACUUUUGUGGAAGGUAAACACCUAUUAACUCAUUCACUGACAAUUCUGUUACAUUACUUUAUUGUGCUUAAGCUAUUUUACAUAUUUUGAAGACUACCUAUUAUAGCAACUAGCCUACCCUAAUUCAUACUAGUACAUUUCAUUGGUUAGUAGUGAUCUUGUAGGAAUAUGGAGUCAUUGCUUGACUUCCCCC